GAGGGUGUAGCUAAGUGGUGGAGCUCACGCUUAGCCUGCACGAGGUCCUGGGUUCAAUCCCCAGUACCUCCA
This 72-nucleotide transfer RNA is filed under the name Camelus ferus (Wild Bactrian camel). It matches the Rfam family "tRNA". From Rfam's summary of the family: Transfer RNA (tRNA) molecules are approximately 80 nucleotides in length. The record is from Rfam by way of RNAcentral. Lineage: Eukaryota; Metazoa; Chordata; Mammalia; Artiodactyla; Camelidae.